UAGUUUUCACUCUCCUUUGAA
Molecule: non-coding RNA, 21 nt
Filed under: Caenorhabditis elegans
Lineage: Eukaryota; Metazoa; Nematoda; Chromadorea; Rhabditida; Rhabditidae
Source: RNAcentral